This 437-nucleotide ribosomal RNA is filed under the name uncultured bacterium. RNAcentral's name for it is "bacterial SSU rRNA". It matches the Rfam family "Bacterial small subunit ribosomal RNA", at positions 958 to 1398 of the family's 1533-position model. The record is from RNAcentral.
AACGCGAAGAACCUUACCAAGGUUUGACAUGGCCGGAAAAGCAUCAGAGAUGGUGUGUCCUUCGGGGUCGGUCACAGGUGGUGCAUGGCUGUCGUCAGCUCGUGUCGUGAGAUGUUGGGUUAAGUCCCGCAACGAGCGCAACCCUCGUCCUAUGUUGCCAGCGGGUCAUGCCGGGGACUCAUGGGAGACUGCCGGGGUCAACUCGGAGGAAGGUGGGGAUGAGGUCAAGUCAUCAUGCCCCUUACGUCCAGGGCUGCACACAUGCUACAAUGGCCGGUACAACGGGCUGCUAUUCCGCGAGGAGGAGCCAAUCCCCAAAGCCGGUCUCAGUUCGGAUCGCAGUCUGCAACUCGACUGCGUGAAGUCGGAGUCGCUAGUAAUCCCGGAUCAGCAACGCCGGGGUGAAUACGUUCCCGGGCCUUGUACACACCGCUGUA